GAUGAACGCUGGCGGCGUGCCUAAUACAUGCAAGUCGAGCGAACGGACGAGAAGCUUGCUUCUCUGAUGUUAGCGGCGGACGGGUGAGUAACACGUGGAUAACCUACCUAUAAGACUGGGAUAACUUCGGGAAACCGGAGCUAAUACCGGAUAAUAUUUUGAACCGCAUGGUUCAACAGUGCAAGACGGUCUUGCUGUCACUUAUAGAUGGAUCCGUGCUGCAUUAGCUAGUUGGUAAGGUAACGGCUUACCAAGGCAACGAUGCAUAGCCGACCUGAGAGGGUGAUCGGCCACACUGGAACUGAGACACGGUCCAGACUCCUACGGGAGGCAGCAGUAGGGAAUCUUCCGCAAUGGGCGAAAGCCUGACGGAGCAACGCCGCGUGAGUGAUGAAGGUCUUCGGAUCGUAAAACUCUGUUAUUAGGGAAGAACAUAUGUGUAAGUAACUGUGCACAUCUUGACGGUACCUAAUCAGAAAGCCACGGCUAACUACGUG
Molecule: ribosomal RNA, 497 nt
Filed under: uncultured bacterium
Lineage: Bacteria
Description: partial 16S ribosomal RNA
Rfam family: Bacterial small subunit ribosomal RNA
Source: RNAcentral